UGGGGAAUAUUGGACAAUGGGCGCAAGCCUGAUCCAGCAAUGCCGCGUGAGUGAUGAAGGCCUUAGGGUUGUAAAGCUCUUUCGCACGCGACGAUGAUGACGGUAGCGUGAGAAGAAGCCCCGGCUAACUUCGUGCCAGCAGCCGCGGUAAUACGAAGGGGGCUAGCGUUGUUCGGAAUUACUGGGCGUAAAGGGCGCGUAGGCGGCCUGUUUAGUCAGAAGUGAAAGCCCCGGGCUCAACCUGGGAAUAGCUUUUGAUACUGGCAGGCUUGAGUUCCGGAGAGGAUGGUGGAAUUCCCAGUGUAGAGGUGAAAUUCGUAGAUAUUGGAAGAACACCGGUGGCGAAGGCGGCCAUCUGGACGGACACUGACGCUGAGGCGCGAAAGCGU
RNAcentral lists this ribosomal RNA (389 nucleotides) under uncultured bacterium. Its description in RNAcentral is "partial 16S ribosomal RNA". It matches the Rfam family "Bacterial small subunit ribosomal RNA", at positions 355 to 762 of the family's 1533-position model. The record is from RNAcentral.